CCUACGGGAGGCAGCAGUGAGGAAUAUUGGUCAAUGGGCGCGAGCCUGAACCAGCCAAGUCGCGUGAGGGAAGACGGUCCUAUGGGUUGUAAACCUCUUUUGUCGGGGAGCAAAAGACGCCACGCGUGGCGUUCCGAGAGUACCCGAAGAAAAAGCAUCGGCUAACUCCGUGCCAGCAGCCGCGGUAAUACGGAGGAUGCGAGCGUUAUCCGGAUUUAUUGGGUGUAAAGGGUGCGCAGGCGGACGCUUAAGUCAGUCGGUAAAGUUGGGGGCCUAACCUUAUCCGUGCGGUUGAAACUGGGUGUCUUGAGUGAAGGAGAAGUAGGCGGAAUGCGUGGUGUAGCGGUGAAAUGCAUAGAUAUCACGCAGAACUCCGAUUGCGAAGGCAGCAUACUGG
Molecule: ribosomal RNA, 397 nt
Filed under: uncultured bacterium
Lineage: Bacteria
Description: partial 16S ribosomal RNA
Rfam family: Bacterial small subunit ribosomal RNA
Source: RNAcentral